Molecule: ribosomal RNA, 326 nt
Filed under: Baalrog sbordonii
Lineage: Eukaryota; Metazoa; Arthropoda; Arachnida; Schizomida; Hubbardiidae
Description: partial 12S ribosomal RNA
Source: RNAcentral
AGGUAGUAUCAGUGGAUCUGGAAACCUAAAAUUUUUGGCGGUUUUGCAGUCUAGUUAGAGGAAUCUGUCCAGUAAUAGAUAUUCCACGUUGGUUUUUACUUUUAUUUUGUUUAUAUACCGCCGUCAUAAAGUGAUUUUUUUAGAAAUUAUUGGGAUAUUUAGAAAGAGAUAGGAUGACAGGUCUAGGUGUAGCUUAUAUAGAAGGGUGAGAUGGAUUACAAUAUUAUAUUAAUAGAUGGAUAUAUUUUCUUAAGGAGAUGUUUGAAAGUGGAUUUAAAAGUAAUACUUAAUUGAAAUGUAAGUGUGAUUUAAGCUCUGUGAAAUGU